ACGGGUGAGUAACACGUGGGUAAUCUGCCCUGCACUCUGGGAUAAGCCCGGGAAACUGGGUCUAAUACCGGAUAUGACCUCCAGUCGCAUGGUUGGGGGUGGAAAGUUCCGGCGGUGCAGGAUGAACCCGCGGCCUAUCAGCUUGUUGGUGGGGUAAUGGCCUACCAAGGCGACGACGGGUAGCCGGCCUGAGAGGGCGACCGGCCACACUGGGACUGAGACACGGCCCAGACUCCUACGGGAGGCAGCAGUGGGGAAUAUUGCGCAAUGGGCGAAAGCCUGACGUAGCGACGCCGCGUGAGGGAUGACGGCCUUCGGGUUGUAAACCUCUUUCGCCAGGGACGAAGAGCAAUUGACGGUACCUGGAGAAGAAGCACCGGCUAACUACGUGCCAGCAGCCGCGGUAAUACGUAGGGUGCGAGCGUUGUCCGGAAUUAUUGGGCGUAAAGAGCUCGUAGGCGGUUUGUUGCGUCGGCCGUGAAAACUUCACGCUUAACGUGGAGCUUGCGGUCGAUACGGGCAGACUUGAGUUCGGUAGGGGAGACUGGAAUUCCUGGUGUAGCGGUGAAAUGCGCAGA
RNAcentral lists this ribosomal RNA (578 nucleotides) under uncultured bacterium. RNAcentral's name for it is "bacterial SSU rRNA". It matches the Rfam family "Bacterial small subunit ribosomal RNA", at positions 102 to 694 of the family's 1533-position model. The record is from RNAcentral.